This 910-nucleotide ribosomal RNA is filed under the name Psychrobacter pulmonis. RNAcentral describes it as "bacterial SSU rRNA". It matches the Rfam family "Bacterial small subunit ribosomal RNA", at positions 536 to 1446 of the family's 1533-position model. Lineage: Bacteria; Pseudomonadati; Pseudomonadota; Gammaproteobacteria; Moraxellales; Moraxellaceae. The record is from RNAcentral.
AAGCGUUAAUCGGAAUUACUGGGCGUAAAGCGAGCGUAGGUGGCUUGAUAAGUCAGAUGUGAAAGCCCCGGGCUUAACCUGGGAACGGCAUCUGAUACUGUUAGGCUAGAGUAGGUGAGAGGAAGGUAGAAUUCCAGGUGUAGCGGUGAAAUGCGUAGAGAUCUGGAGGAAUACCGAUGGCGAAGGCAGCCUUCUGGCAUCAUACUGACACUGAGGUUCGAAAGCGUGGGUAGCAAACAGGAUUAGAUACCCUGGUAGUCCACGCCGUAAACGAUGUCUACUAGUCGUUGGGUCCCUUGAGGACUUAGUGACGCAGCUAACGCAAUAAGUAGACCGCCUGGGGAGUACGGCCGCAAGGUUAAAACUCAAAUGAAUUGACGGGGGCCCGCACAAGCGGUGGAGCAUGUGGUUUAAUUCGAUGCAACGCGAAGAACCUUACCUGGUCUUGACAUAUCUAGAAUCCUGCAGAGAUGCGGGAGUGCCUUCGGGAAUUAGAAUACAGGUGCUGCAUGGCUGUCGUCAGCUCGUGUCGUGAGAUGUUGGGUUAAGUCCCGCAACGAGCGCAACCCUUGUCCUUAGUUACCAGCGGUUUGGCCGGGAACUCUAAGGAUACUGCCAGUGACAAACUGGAGGAAGGCGGGGACGACGUCAAGUCAUCAUGGCCCUUACGACCAGGGCUACACACGUGCUACAAUGGUAGGUACAGAGGGCAGCUACACAGCGAUGUGAUGCGAAUCUCAAAAAGCCUAUCGUAGUCCAGAUUGGAGUCUGCAACUCGACUCCAUGAAGUAGGAAUCGCUAGUAAUCGCGGAUCAGAAUGCCGCGGUGAAUACGUUCCCGGGCCUUGUACACACCGCCCGUCACACCAUGGGAGUUGAUGCACCAGAAGUGGGUAGCCUAACCUUUUAGG